CCUACGGGAGGCAGCAGUGGGGAAUAUUGCGCAAUGGGCGAAAGCCUGACGCAGCGACGCCGCGUGAGGGAUGAAGGUCUUCGGAUCGUAAACCUCUGUCAGCAGGGAAGAACGGUCACUGUGCUAAUCAGCAGUGAAUUGACGGUACGUGCAAAGGAAGCACCGGCCAACUCCGUGCCAGCAGCUGCGGUAAUACGGAUGGUGCGAGCGUUAAUCGGAAUUACUGGGCGUAAAGCGCUCGUAGGCGGUAUGUCAAGUCAAGGGUGAAAUCGCCGCGCUCAACCUGGGAACUGACUUUGAAACUGGCAAACUGGAGUGUGUGAGAGGAUAGUGGAAUUCCAGGUGUAGGGGUGAA
This 355-nucleotide ribosomal RNA is filed under the name uncultured bacterium. RNAcentral describes it as "partial 16S ribosomal RNA". It matches the Rfam family "Bacterial small subunit ribosomal RNA", at positions 338 to 685 of the family's 1533-position model. The record is from RNAcentral.